Molecule: ribosomal RNA, 291 nt
Filed under: uncultured bacterium
Lineage: Bacteria
Description: partial 16S ribosomal RNA
Rfam family: Bacterial small subunit ribosomal RNA
Source: RNAcentral
GUGACAGCAGCCGCGGUAAUACGUAGGUGGCAAGCGUUGUCCGGAAUUAUUGGGCGUAAAGCGCGCGCAGGUGGUUCCAAAAGUCUGACGUGAAAGCCCCCGGCUCAACCGGGGAGGGUCAUUGAAACUGGGGAACUUGAGUGCAGGAGAGGAAAGUGGAAUUCCACGUGUAGCGGUGAAAUGCGUAGAUAUGUGGAGGAACACCAGUGGCGAAGGCGACUUUCUGGCCUGUAACUGACACUGAGGCGCGAAAGCGUGGGGAGCAAACAGGAUUAGAUACCCGGGUAGUCC